RNAcentral lists this non-coding RNA (24 nucleotides) under Arabidopsis thaliana (thale cress). Lineage: Eukaryota; Viridiplantae; Streptophyta; Magnoliopsida; Brassicales; Brassicaceae. The record is from RNAcentral.
CUGAGAAUAUUCUGAGACUAUCCU